GCAGAUCCUCGGCACUGGUUUGGCACAAGACUUCCCGAGCAGGACAAGUAACCCACAAAAUGUAGCCAGUAUCCAGGGCUGCUCACAGCUUUGCUUCUUGUUAAGGAAGAUGAUGGUCUUAAAAUGGUUUUACCACAAGAAACUUCCCCUACAUGGAAUAUACCUGUUGCUUUCCCCUGAGGCCUCACACUGCCACUCUGAGGAGUAUAAUGAUAGAUCCAGAGGGUUUACCACAGAUCAUGGGGAGACAAUACAGAUUUGUUAAGAGACAAGCUUUCACGGCCAAAUGUGUCAUAAAUAUACCUAAUGAAGGGUCUUGAGAUGGCCAGGACAGUGCGGAUGAACCAUGUUGGCAUCUCUUCAGCCAGCUGAUGCCAGGCAUCUUUCUGCGAGGAGUUGCUCCAUUCAGGUACGGCCUGAUGACCUGCAUAUCGAUCCGUUGCUCCUGGUCGCCAAUGAUCACUGUUCGCCACAGACGACCUGACGAGUCUCUCUCCUCUUCGCUCUCACCUGGGAGACGCUUAGCAGUAGCCACAGCUCGUUGCCGUUGUUGAUGAACUCCAGUGAGUCAGUCUCAUCUGGAGUCUCGAUGUCAUCAACAUUGAUGUCCAGGUCGUCGGGCG
Non-coding RNA from Maylandia zebra (zebra mbuna), 623 nucleotides. Lineage: Eukaryota; Metazoa; Chordata; Actinopteri; Cichliformes; Cichlidae. The record is from RefSeq and is a predicted model, not a curated record.